RNAcentral lists this ribosomal RNA (253 nucleotides) under uncultured bacterium. RNAcentral's name for it is "partial 16S ribosomal RNA". It matches the Rfam family "Bacterial small subunit ribosomal RNA", at positions 524 to 776 of the family's 1533-position model. The record is from RNAcentral.
UACGUAGGGGGCGAGCGUUGUCCGGAUUUAUUGGGCGUAAAGAGCGUGUAGGCGGCCAGGUAGGUCUGCUGUGAAAACUCGAGGCUCAACCUCGAGACGUCGGCGGAAACCAUCUGGCUAGAGUCCGGAAGAGGAGAGUGGAAUUCCUGGUGUAGCGGUGAAAUGCGCAGAUAUCAGGAAGAACACCCGUGGCGAAGGCGGCUCUCUGGGCAACAACUGACGCUGAGGAGCGAAAGCGUGGGGAGCGAACAGG